This 563-nucleotide ribosomal RNA is filed under the name uncultured kinetoplastid. RNAcentral's name for it is "bacterial SSU rRNA". It matches the Rfam family "Eukaryotic small subunit ribosomal RNA", at positions 615 to 991 of the family's 1831-position model. The record is from RNAcentral. Lineage: Eukaryota; Euglenozoa; Kinetoplastea.
GCUGUUAAGGGUUCGUAGUUGAACUGAGGGUGUUCAAGUAGACAAUCCAGUCCCACCUCGCUCUCGGGUCGGCGACUCUUGCUCUUGACACUCGUGAACGAACAGAAACAAAGACCACGGGUUAUUUCGCGCCUCCCAACACUUUCACGCAUGCAACGUAUGCCGUGUGGGGGGCUGCCCGUGUUUUUACUGUGACUAAAAAAGCGUGACCAAAGCAGUCAUUCGACAUGAAUUUCAAGCAUGGGAUAACAACGAAGCAUCCUACGGGCUGUCCAUAUCGGAUUUUGUUGGUUUUAACGUCUUGUGGGAGACUAUGGGCCCGCGCGACAGGCGAUUUCGGGGGCGAGUGAACUCUCGUUCCCGCGCUUCCGUUGCGGUGUCGCUUCGCGCACUUGUGCGCGGUCAAAGGGUGACCUUCCUUCGGUUCGCGGUGCCCAGGAAUGAAGGAGGGUUGCUCGGGGGAGAACGUACUUGGCGUUAGAGGUGAAAUUCUUAGACCGCUCAAAGACGAACUACAGCGAAGGCAUUCUCCAGGAUACCUUCCUCAAUCAAGAACUAAAGUG